RNAcentral lists this non-coding RNA (67 nucleotides) under zebrafish metagenome. Its description in RNAcentral is "SAM riboswitch (alpha-proteobacteria)". The stretch from base 6 to 65 matches the Rfam family "Alpha-proteobacteria SAM riboswitch aptamer", at positions 10 to 68 of the family's 79-position model. From Rfam's summary of the family: This family is a riboswitch found predominantly in alpha-proteobacteria that binds S-adenosyl methionine (SAM). This SAM riboswitch is located upstream of the metA and metC genes in Agrobacterium tumefaciens, and other methionine and SAM biosynthesis genes in other alpha-proteobacteria. Like the other SAM riboswitch, it probably functions to turn off expression of these genes in response to elevated SAM levels. The record is from RNAcentral.
GAACCCGUGGUUAUUUGAGCCGGCCGGCUUGCCCGCCACGUAAAACAAGGGACUAAAAGGCCGGGCU